CCUACGGGAGGCAGCAGUGAGGAAUAUUGGUCAAUGGCCGGAAGGCUGAACCAGCCAUGCCGCGUGAAGGUCAGUGCCCUAUGGGCGUUAAACUUCUUUUGUGCGGGAGCAAUAAUGGUCACGUGUGGCCUGACGAGAGUACCGUACGAAUAAGCAUCGGCUAACUCCGUGCCAGCAGCCGCGGUAAUACCGGGGAUGCAAGCGUUAUUCGGAUUUAAUGGGUUUAAAGGGUUCGUAGGCUGUGUGGUAAGUUAGCGGUGAAAUGUCCGCGCUCAACGGGGUGAAGUGCCAUUGAUACUGUCUGGCUAGAAUACGGAUGCGGUAGGAGGAAUGUGUGGUGUAGCGGUGAAAUGCAUAGAGAUCACACAGAACACCGAUUGCGAAGGCAUCUCACGAAUCCGCGAUUGACGCUGAUGCACGAAAGCGUGGGUAUCAAACAGGAUUAGAUACCCUUGUAGUC
RNAcentral lists this ribosomal RNA (460 nucleotides) under uncultured bacterium. RNAcentral's name for it is "partial 16S ribosomal RNA". It matches the Rfam family "Bacterial small subunit ribosomal RNA", at positions 338 to 795 of the family's 1533-position model. The record is from RNAcentral.